GACGAACGCUGGCGGCGUGCUUAACACAUGCAAGUCGAACGGUGAAGCGCCUUCCUUUUUGGUGGGUGUGGAUGAGUGGCGAACGGGUGAGUAACACGUGAGUAACCUGCCCCCUUCUUCUGGAUAACCGCAUGAAAGUGUGGCUAAUACGGGAUAUUCUGGGUCUGUCGCAUGAUGGGUCUGGGAAAGAUAUUGUUUCGGUGGGGGAUGGGCUCGCGGCCUAUCAGCUUGUUGGUGGGGUGAUGGCCUACCAAGGCGGUGGCGGGUAGCCGGCCUGGGAGGGUGGACGGUCACACUGGGACUGAGACACGGCCCAGACUCCUACGGGAGGCAGCAGUGGGGAAUAUUGCACAAUGGGCGCAAGCCUGAUGCAGCGACGCCGCGUGAGGGAUGGAGGCCUGCGGGUUGUGAACCUCUUUCGCCAGUGAAGCAGGCCUGCCUCGUUUGUGGGUGGGUUGACGGUAGCUGGAUAAGAAGCGCCGGCUAACUACGUG
RNAcentral lists this ribosomal RNA (494 nucleotides) under uncultured bacterium. RNAcentral describes it as "partial 16S ribosomal RNA". It matches the Rfam family "Bacterial small subunit ribosomal RNA", at positions 28 to 507 of the family's 1533-position model. The record is from RNAcentral.